UGCGCGAGUCAUUGGGACUAACUAAACCUAAAGGCGCAAUGAAAGUGAAGAUCCGCUCUCGGGCGGAUCUAGGGACGAUGGGCCGUGUUACGGCAUGGCCCCGCAAUCCCGGGGCGUCUCGUUCUCAUUGCGAGAUGAGGCGCACCUAGAGCGUAUACGCUAGGACCCGAAAGAUGGUGAACUAUGCCUGGUCAGGACGAAGUCAGGGGAAACCCUGAUGGAGGUCCGUAGCGAUUCUGACGUGCAAAUCGAUCGUCGGAACUGGGUAUAGGGGCGAAAGACCAAUCGAACCAUCUAGUAGCUGGUUCCCUCCGAAGUUUCCCUCAGGAUAGCUGGCACUCGUUAAUGCGAGUUUCAUCCGGUAAAGCGAAUGAUUAGAGGCAUUGGGGCCGAAACGGCCUCAACCUAUUCUCAAACUUUAAAUGGGUGAGAUCUCCGGCUUGCUUGACGCCGAAGCCGCGAGAUAGAAUCAGAGUGCCAAGUGGGCCACUUUUGGUAAGCAGAACUGGCGCUGUGGGAUGAACCAAACGCAGAGUUAAAGCGCCUAAAUCGACGCUUAUGGGAUACCAUGAAAGGCGUU
Molecule: ribosomal RNA, 580 nt
Filed under: Silphopsyllus desmanae
Lineage: Eukaryota; Metazoa; Arthropoda; Insecta; Coleoptera; Leiodidae
Description: eukaryotic LSU rRNA
Rfam family: Eukaryotic large subunit ribosomal RNA
Source: RNAcentral